UACGUAGGGGGCAAGCGUUGUCCGGAAUCAUUGGGCGUAAAGAGCGUGUAGGCGGCCCGGUAAGUCCGCUGUGAAAGUCCAGGGCUCAACCCUGGAAUGCCGGUGGAAACUGUCGGGCUCGAGUACGGAAGAGGCGAGUGGAAUUCCUGGUGUAGCGGUGAAAUGCGCAGAUAUCAGGAGGAACACCACUUGCGAAGGCAGCUCGCUGGGACGUAACUGACGCUGAGACGCGAAAGCGUGGGGAGCAAACAGG
RNAcentral lists this ribosomal RNA (253 nucleotides) under uncultured bacterium. Its description in RNAcentral is "partial 16S ribosomal RNA". It matches the Rfam family "Bacterial small subunit ribosomal RNA", at positions 524 to 776 of the family's 1533-position model. The record is from RNAcentral.